ACAUUCUGAAAAGAACCGGUGGUACUCAACGUUUCAGACAGUAUGCUCUGUCCGUCUUCAGAAGACGUCUUGAGCAGUGUUGGAGCUGUUUUGCGUCUCCAAAUUUCGAAUUUUUUUUUUUUAAAAAGGAAAGGCCACUGUAUCAAUGGAGCCUGCCUCUUUUCAGCGCUGGGAGAAAUACCAAUUACCUGUCUUGGCUUCAUCCAAGUCAACACUGUCUGUGACAGACAGACAAUAUCAUGGAAAUUCCUCUGAACAAGAAGUGCAGUGUUUUUUUCACCGCAGAGGGAGUGGAAGAAAAAGGCAGCCUGAUGGUGCUGUACAUGUACCUCAAGAUGUAGCCACUCAAGACCUUCCUCAUCUGUAGUGCACUGACAGCAGUUUGGAAUGAAGACAGCAGUGAUCCUUAAUAGCACUCUACUAGACAUACGCUACACCAUUUCCUAGAUAACACUACGGUCGAAGACUACACAGCUUUCUGGUGUGUAGUGUACAUUCCUUCCAUACUGCAACUUGAAUUAUUGGCCACUUUGCCUGGACCCGUCUCAGCCAUCUGGAAAACCUCCAGACACUCCUUGCGCAACUCUCACUAACUGGUCCAUGGUGUCUCUGUUGUGGGUGCUCAUCGCCUUUCCCCUACCCAUGGAUUCCACCAGGCCUAUCCAUGAGUUGCCUAUCAUCUGCAUGGACUUGUCAUCCUCUCUUCUGUGUGUGUACGGCCUCCCCAUGCUACAGACUGCUUCCAGCAUGAUCUAUGGAGCUGGUUCCCUAGGUUAGGAUACAAAUCAGCAACAUGAUAGCCCCAGCUGAAUUGCACUGAGCAGAUUGAGAAGAUCAAUUCAUACUAUUUAGCUAGGAAGGAUAACACCACGGUGACCUCUCAGGCACAACCUAGUAUUACCCUCAGCUGCCAAGUGGGAUUCCACCU
Molecule: long non-coding RNA, 928 nt
Filed under: Acanthaster planci (crown-of-thorns starfish)
Lineage: Eukaryota; Metazoa; Echinodermata; Asteroidea; Valvatida; Acanthasteridae
Description: uncharacterized LOC110976226, transcript variant X1
Source: RNAcentral